This 475-nucleotide ribosomal RNA is filed under the name uncultured bacterium. Its description in RNAcentral is "bacterial SSU rRNA". It matches the Rfam family "Bacterial small subunit ribosomal RNA", at positions 330 to 793 of the family's 1533-position model. The record is from RNAcentral.
AGAGCACUCCUACGGGAGGCAGCAGUGGGGAAUAUUGCACAAUGGGCGCAAGCCUGAUGCAGCCAUGCCGCGUGUAUGAAGAAGGCCUUCGGGUUGUAAAGUACUUUCAGCAGUGAGGAAGGUGGAUAUGUUAAUAGCAUAUUCAUUUGACGUUUAGCUGCAGAAGAAGCACCGGCUAACUCCGUGCCAGCAGCCGCGGUAAUACGGAGGGUGCGAGCGUUAAUCGGAAUUACUGGGCGUAAAGCGCAUGCAGGUGGUUUGUUAAGUCAGAUGUGAAAGCCCGGGGCUCAACCUCGGAAUUGCAUUUUGAAACUGGCAAACUAGAGUACUGUAGAGGGGGUAGGAAUUUCAGGUGUAGCGGUGAAAUGCGUAGAGAUCUGAAGGAAUACCGGUGGCGAAGGCGGCCCCCUGGACCAGAUACUGACACUCAGAUGCGAAAGCGUGGGGAGCAAACAGGAUUAGAUACCCUCGGUAG